Molecule: long non-coding RNA, 457 nt
Organism: Salvia miltiorrhiza (redroot sage)
Lineage: Eukaryota; Viridiplantae; Streptophyta; Magnoliopsida; Lamiales; Lamiaceae
Exons: 2
Source: RefSeq, a predicted model, not a curated record
CACUGUCGAACACACUUUAGAGUAAAAAACUUGUUCAUCUAUCACCAAACCACAAGUUCAUCACCACAUUUAGGGUUGGCGUCCGGUGAACAUCGCCUCCAUCGACGACGAUUGUCGUCGUUAUGCGCAAUGGAUCAACAAGUUGGAAGUGUGGAAUGUCAUCGUCGUCUCCACGUCAUAUGAGCCAUAUGCGAGUUAGAUAUUAUGGCACGAUUUUAAGUUGCGAGUACAAUGAUGCGAGGGGAGGGCUGUUGAAAUGUGCGUCUACACAUUAUCGAGAGUUGUGCAAGAAUAGUAACUUCAAUGCUAAUUAUGUCUUGCUUGGAUGAGACAAGUCAGUAAUAUGAACAAAUUAUAUACUUCCAAAAAAAUACUAUGUUUUAUGUCAUAUUUAAAUAAAGCACAAACUCGUGAUUACAUUUGGUAGUUGAAAUCAAAGUUUAUUCAUUUUUCAUUA